This 1245-nucleotide long non-coding RNA is filed under the name Gallus gallus (chicken). The record is from RNAcentral. Lineage: Eukaryota; Metazoa; Chordata; Aves; Galliformes; Phasianidae.
UGUCUUGGCCGAACGCAGCAUUUACAAAGCCAUUCACAAAGGAGGAGGCCAAAUUCAUCCGGGCUGAGUCCACUUGGGAACCACUGCCCCCAAACCGGUUAUUUUCCAGGUGGGUUUUGUAAAUAUCAUCUGGUACUUUGGGCUCCAUGAUGUCCAGCUCUCUGGCCAAGGCCAGGAAGUUGCUGUUGAGUUGGACAUUGGACAUGAUCUCAGUCAGGUCCUCAUACUCCUCCACAUCCUCAUUAAGCUCCAGGAAGACCCCAUGGCGGCCCAGCAUAAAGGCCAUCUGCUUCUGGACAACUACAUCUUUGCAGGAGGUGAAGAUGUCCUCCACCAGCUCCACGUCGUUGAGCAUCAGAGCCAGGCGCAGGGCUUCAGGGUAACGGUUGAACUUGCGGAAAAUGCCCAGGGCACAGCGUAGAAGAGCAGAGUUCUCAGGCUCUGGGACAUAGCUUACGCAGCUGGUCAGGUAGAGGCACACUUUCGAGUAGGCGUUGUCAUCGAUGUACUUCUCCAGCAUGUCCAUCUGCUCGAUCUCCAUGAGCAGGUCACAAGCCUCGUGCUCUGCAUUGUGAGCCAUGUUGUAAGGGACGAUCUCCUUGACCAGGGUGAGGAGCGUGUCCCUCUGUGCCUUGUCGGCUUCAUCAAUCUCCUGCCACUCCUUGGCCACCUCCCCUGCCAGGUGCCUGACGUAUUCAUGCCCCCACGAUGCCAGCUCCUCCUGAGAGCCCACCAGGCGGUACUUCAGACACUCACGCUCCCCACUCAUGGUCAUAGCCAGGACAGAAAUGAUGUCUGCUGCAAAGCGCUUGUUCUCCCCGGGGGCCAUGUUCUCAUAGAUCUCCUUCAGCUUGCCAUAGUGCGGUCGGAGGAACUUGAGGGGCUUGGGGACGGAAGUCAUGGAGGUGGUGGAGGAACGGAUCUGCCUGCGCAGCUCCUCCAGUGCCGGGCGAUAGAGAGACGUGUCCUUCUCCCCGAGGCGCUCCACCAGCAUCUCCAGCUCAUCCUGCAGCUGUUUGUCCUCCUCCGACAGUUCCUGUUCCUUCUCGGGCCCCGCGGGCGGAUCCCGGCGAUCCCGGCCCCACAGCGGUGCGGGCUUCUCGUCACCACCCGACCCCGGCCCGCCCUGCACCCGGCUCUGCCCGCCGCCGCCGCCCGCGUCCAUGGCCGCUCCGCCGCACACCGGCCACGCUCCGCGCCUGCGCCCGGCCCGAGCCCGCAGCCAAUCGCAGUCCGUCGUCUUCG